CCUACGGGCGGCAGCAGUAGGGAAUAUUGCUCAAUGGGGGAAACCCUGAAGCAGCAACGCCGCGUGGAGGAUGAAGGUUUUCGGAUUGUAAACUCCUUUUUUUAGAGAAGAUAAUGACGGCUUCUAACGAAUAAGCACCGGCUACCUCCGUGCCAGCAGCCGCUGCAAUACGGAGGGGGGCAGCGUUACUCGGCAUCAUUGGGGGUAAAGCGGGCGUAGGCGGGAUAGCAAGUGAGAUGUGAAAUCCUAUGGCUUAACCAUCGGACUGCAUUUGAAACUGGUAUCCUAGAGUAGGGGAGAGGAAGGUGGAAUUCUUGGUGUAGGGGUGAAAUGCGUAGAGAUCAAGAAGAAUACCCAUUGCGAAGGCGGCAUGCUGGAGCCAAACUGACGCUGAGGCGCGAAAGCGUGGGGAGCGAACAGGAUUAGAUACCCUGGUAGUC
This 440-nucleotide ribosomal RNA is filed under the name uncultured bacterium. Its description in RNAcentral is "partial 16S ribosomal RNA". It matches the Rfam family "Bacterial small subunit ribosomal RNA", at positions 338 to 795 of the family's 1533-position model. The record is from RNAcentral.